UAGCGUUGUCCGGAUUUAUUGGGCGUAAAGAGCGUGUAGGCGGCCUGGUAGGUCUGCUGUGAAAACUCGAGGCUCAACCUCGAGAUGUCGGCGGAAACCAUCUGGCUAGAGUCCGGAAGAGGAGAGUGGAAUUCCUGGUGUAGCGGUGAAAUGCGCAGAUAUCAGGAAGAACACCUAUGGCGAAGGCAGCUCUCUGGGACGGUACUGACGCUGAGACGCGAAAUCGUGGGGAGCGAACAGG
This 241-nucleotide ribosomal RNA is filed under the name uncultured bacterium. Its description in RNAcentral is "partial 16S ribosomal RNA". It matches the Rfam family "Bacterial small subunit ribosomal RNA", at positions 536 to 776 of the family's 1533-position model. The record is from RNAcentral.